RNAcentral lists this ribosomal RNA (258 nucleotides) under uncultured archaeon. RNAcentral describes it as "partial 16S ribosomal RNA". It matches the Rfam family "Archaeal small subunit ribosomal RNA", at positions 748 to 1006 of the family's 1478-position model. The record is from RNAcentral.
UAGCCGUAAACGAUACUCGCUAGGUGUCGGCCACGGUGCGACCGUUGUCGGUGCCGUAGGGAAGCCGUGAAGCGAGCCACCUGGGAAGUACGGCCGCAAGGCUGAAACUUAAAGGAAUUGGCGGGGGAGCACAACAACGGGUGGAGCUUGCGGUUUAAUUGGAUUCAACGCCGGAAAUCUUACCGGGACCGACAGCAACAUGAAGGCCAAGCUGAAGACUUUGCCGGAUUAGCUGAGAGGAGGUGCAUGGCGUAGUCG